This 479-nucleotide ribosomal RNA is filed under the name uncultured bacterium. RNAcentral's name for it is "partial 16S ribosomal RNA". It matches the Rfam family "Bacterial small subunit ribosomal RNA", at positions 28 to 507 of the family's 1533-position model. The record is from RNAcentral.
GAUGAACGCUGGCGGCGUGCCUAACACAUGCAAGUCGAACGAAGCACCUUGAUUCGAUUCUUCGUAUGAAGAUCUAGGUGACUGAGUGGCGGACGGGCGAGUAACUCGUGGGUAACCUGCCUCAUACAGGGGGAUAACAGUUAGAAAUGACUGCUACUACCGCAUAAGACCACCGCACCGCAUGGUGCACGGGUAAAAAGUCCGGUGGUAUGAGAUGGAUCCGCGGCUGAUUAGGUAGUGGGUGGGGUAACGGCCUACCAGUCCGACGACCGGGAGACGACCUGUGAGGGUGACCGGCCACAUUGGGACUGAGACACGGCGCAGACUCCUGCGGGAGGCAGCAGUGGGGGAUACAGCACAAUGGGGGAAGUCCUGAUGCAGCGACGCCGGGAGAGCGAUGAUGUAGGUCGGUAUGAAAAGCUCUAUCAGCAGGGAAGAAAAUGACGGUACCUAACUAAGAAGCACCGGCUAAAUACGUG